Molecule: ribosomal RNA, 475 nt
Filed under: uncultured bacterium
Lineage: Bacteria
Description: bacterial SSU rRNA
Rfam family: Bacterial small subunit ribosomal RNA
Source: RNAcentral
CUGGCGGCGUGCCUAAUACAUGCAAGUCGAGCGAAUCAAUAGGAGCUUGCUCCUGUUGGUUAGCGGCGGACGGGUGAGUAAUGCGUAAGAAUCUGCCCUUCAGUGAAGGAUACCCUCGAGAAAUCGGGGGUUAAUACUGCAUACGUCCCUUCGGGGAGAAAGAUGGCCUCUUGCUGUCGCUGAUGGAUGAGCUUGCGUGCUAUUAGCUUAUUGGUGGGUAAAGGCCUACCAAGGCGAUGAUGGCUAGCUGGCCUGAGAGGGUGUACGGCCACACUGGAACUUAGACACGGUCCAGACUCCUACGGGAGGCAGCAGUGGGGAAUUUUGCGCAAUGGGCGAAAGCCUGACGCAGCAACGCCGCGUGGGGGAUGAAGGCCUUAGGGUCGUAAACUCCUGUUAAGUGGGAAGAAAGGCUUGUUCUUAAUACGGACAAGAAAUGACGGUACCAUUAGAGAAAGCACCGGCUAACUUCGUG